This is a long non-coding RNA of Cydia splendana, 313 nucleotides long. RefSeq lists it as uncharacterized. NCBI's taxonomy places the organism in Eukaryota, Metazoa, Arthropoda, Insecta, Lepidoptera, Tortricidae. The record is from RefSeq and is a predicted model, not a curated record. The transcript has 2 exons.
UAAAUAACAGCAAUUAUUAUAAGUAUCAUAACGUUAUUUUGUUCCUAUAAAUACAUAUUUGGGUUUUGCAUAGAACUUGGCACUCAUUUACAUAUCCAUUCUUUUUGCAGCGAAGCCCACAGCCAAGCAUAAUUUUUGUAUUGAACUUGGCUCUCCUUUUUUACAUUUAUGUUUUUGGUGGGAUAUCAUUACUUUUUGUAAAGAAAACUAGGCAGGUAUUGAGAUUUAAUGUUUUUUCUUGCGUCAAAUAUAAUAAUACAUAUAUUGGGAUAGUUUCAAAUAUCUGCUUGUAACGGUUCCAACGCUACAAUUU